CAACUUUCAACAACGGAUCUCUUGGCUCUUGCAUCGAUGAAGAACGCAGUGAAAUGCGAUAAGUAAUGUGAAUUGCAGAAUUCAGUGAAUCAUCGAAUCUUUGAACGCAUCUUGCGCUCCUUGGUAUUCUGAGGAGCAUGCCUGUUUGAGUGUCAUUAAA
This 160-nucleotide ribosomal RNA is filed under the name Amanita farinosa. Its description in RNAcentral is "5.8S ribosomal RNA". It matches the Rfam family "5.8S ribosomal RNA". From Rfam's summary of the family: 5.8S ribosomal RNA (5.8S rRNA) is a component of the large subunit of the eukaryotic ribosome. It is transcribed by RNA polymerase I as part of the 45S precursor that also contains 18S and 28S rRNA. The record is from RNAcentral. Lineage: Eukaryota; Fungi; Basidiomycota; Agaricomycetes; Agaricales; Amanitaceae.